AGGAGUUUGGAUCCCUGGCUCAGGACGAACGUUGGCGGUGCGCUUAAUGCAUGCAAGUCGAGGGAGAACCAUUCGAUCCGUAAGGACUGGAUGGGGAAACCGGCGAACGGGUGCGUAACACGUGAGGAACCUGCCCCGAAGACCGGGAUAGCCCGAGGAAACUCGGAUUAAUACCGGAUACCCUCUUUGGACCACAUGGUCUGCUGAAGAAAUGGUCCGCCGCUUCGGGAUGGCCUCGCGGCCUAUCAGCUUGUUGGUGAGGUAACGGCUCACCAAGGCAAAGACGGGUAGCUGGUCUGAGAGGACGAUCAGCCACACUGGGACUGAGACACGGCCCAGACUCCUACGGGAGGCAGCAGCAGGGAAUAUUGCACAAUGGGCGAAAGCCUGAUGCAGCGACACCGCGUGCGGGAUGAAGGCCCUCGGGUUGUAAACCGCUUUCAGGAGGGACGAAAAUGACGGUACCUCCAGAAGAAGGCCCGGCCAACUACGUGCCAGCAGCCGCGGUAAUACGUAGGGGCCAAACGUUGUCCGGAUUUAUUGGGCGUAAAGGGCUCGUAGGCGGUUCAACAAGUCGAUCGUGAAAGCCCGGGGCUCAACCCCGGGACGCCGGUCGAAACUGUUGUGACUAGGGUCCGGUAGAGGUGAGUGGAAUUCUCGGUGUAGCGGUGGAAUGCGCAGAUAUCGAGAGGAACACCA
This 699-nucleotide ribosomal RNA is filed under the name uncultured bacterium. RNAcentral describes it as "bacterial SSU rRNA". It matches the Rfam family "Bacterial small subunit ribosomal RNA", at positions 1 to 711 of the family's 1533-position model. The record is from RNAcentral.